Molecule: long non-coding RNA, 3592 nt
Organism: Passer domesticus (house sparrow)
Lineage: Eukaryota; Metazoa; Chordata; Aves; Passeriformes; Passeridae
Exons: 3
Source: RefSeq, a predicted model, not a curated record
ACCCAGUGACCUUGUGUCACACACUGUGACUGAUGUAUUUUGAUUUUUACAAACUGCAAAAGUUGGUUUUACUGAUGGGCAGGAUAACCAAUAGUGCAACAACUUCAUAUUUCUCCAGUAUGCCAGAAAUAAAAAGGCAAAGUCCAUUAGUCCUUGCACAGCUCAAAACCUGGGAUCCUGGAUUCUUUCCUCUGAAACUCAAUGUUUUGCAGUAGCAACCAGAAAAUGAUAAUAAAUAAGCAGUGUGUGCAUGGAUGGUCCUUGUCUUAGCUACCAUUUUGAAGGGCUUAUCUGUUAUAAAACUCUGUAAUGCUCCAGUCCUUGCUGGAAGAGAGGAUGAAUGAAGAUUCAUUGAAUUACAUGACCAAAACUGUAUGUGUUCUAAAGGAUAUAUGUUUAAAAAAUAAAGAAAUUAAGUUCAUUUAUACUCCUUUUUUUAUAGUAUGAAGCAGGUAGAUCUUUUGCUGAUAAUAUGGCACACUGUUUUUAUGCUCCUGUUUGCACAAAAUCUUAUUAGAGAUUCUGAUCACAAUCAUCCCCCAGAACUAUGGAACCAUAUCUUUCUAAUAAUUAUAUUGUUAUUAAUAACAAUAAGCAUUUAAAAGAUUUCAUCUAUACUCUGUUGGUAAAUUUCUGAAGAGCUAAGAAGGGGCUAUUCUGGUAGGCAUUGAUACUUGCAGUGUUUUCUGCCGUCAUCAUCACUCCUUGAAUCCCUUUGUUCUUCACCCUGCCUCAAAUUUUCAUUACCUCCUUCUGUUUAUCCUUUCAAACUCACUAAAGGCUUUACUCUUGGGAUCUUUUCCAAAUUCACUAAAGGCUUUGCUCUUGGGACCUCAUCUUUCAGUUUGCUUUAUGAAAUACCUGUCCUUUUUAAGUAUGCUGCAAAAUAACAAUAGCAUCCUGAGGCAUGAAAUGGAUUUAGACCCUCAGCACUUUCCAUGGGAUUCACUUAGCUGGGAAGAAGAGUAAUUUAUCAUCUCCAGAGGAAAGAGACAUGAGCAGCAGAAGAGAGUUUUACAGGAGCAGCUGAUGCCUGAGUGCUGUAAGAGCAAGGGAUAGAGCAGAGCCUCCUCAGGGGCUGCAGGAAGCUCUGCCAGUGGUUGUACCUGUUUAGGAGAACAUAGCUCCUAAAUGAAAGUCACUGUGCAUCUGGUGCAUUAGUUGCAGGCUGCCUCAGUUUAGGUCAUAUGGUUCUAGUUUAGUUGAGAGGGGAAGAUUUUUACCUAAAUGUUUUAUAACCUAUCUACCAUCUUGGUUUGGUGCUACCAUUUUACUUUUCUUGAUAUGUCAUUUUUCCAAUUUAUCUGCACUUUCUGUAUUGGGAGUGAACUGGGUUGGAUUAACUUGCAUUAUUUUUAUAAUACAAGGUUUAUUGUGUGGUCAACUUAUGUGUGUCAUUAAUUGCCUUAUUGUGAUGCUUUAUCAGAAUAAUAAUUCUAUGAACUGAGUGGAUAAAUAGUUUUAAUAUAUAUAACUUAUUCUGGUGAUCUUUCCCAGUAUUUGGUUUCUGCUGAUCUCUCUAACUGAACCUCCUGAUCAUUUGUGAUGGAACUUACAGAAAUUUAAACACCAAAAGCUGAUAACAAGGUGUACUGACAAUUUGAGAAAGCCAGAGCUGGUCUGGGUUUCUCUGUUUUGCUGGGAUCUCGAUUGGGAGGAGGAGAAAGUUGCAUUAGGUGAGGUCUGUAUCAGGCUGUAAAAAAGGGGUUGUGCAUCAUCCUUAAUGAUACAUAAGAACAGUUAUUCUGUCACUGCCGAGGUGAAUGUGGACUCAGUUCCACUGUGUGCUGAUAGGGGGCCACUAAUAAGAUCCAAAUGUUACCUGUGGAUUAGAAAAUAAUUUGUGAAGCCUCAGAAAUGGAUGUUGUGUACAAGCCUCCAGGUAAGUUUCCGUGUACCUCCUAAUGUGAGGUACAAGCCGCCUCUUCAUCGUGCCAGUUUCAAAAUCCUUGGCACCUCAGGGAGAAGGGCAUGGGCUCCCAGGCUGGAUUUCAGCUGAGGAUACAGCAUCUCAUCUGCUCACAGAGGGGCUUUUCUGUGUCCUGUCUCUACAUACACAUACUAUGUGUCCAUUCUGGUUGGGAUUGGGCAUGUGCCCUAGUUUCCUGCACAGCUGGUGGGCCUCAGAUUUAAACACUUUUUAUCACGAAAUACGAGUAAUUAGAUGGCUUCAACACUGAGCAGACAGCUGUGUAUUUAAAUGUGACCUUAUACCCAGUCAGUCUCACAACCUGCAUUUGGAAUAUGGUAUUUAGGUAAAUGCUGUGCUGAGCCUGAGGAAUUGUUAAAAGUGACACAAUGGUAUGCUAAUGCAAUUACCUGACUUGCAGUGCUGAGAUUUGGCCUUUGUUUGGGCUCAGUUGCAGUUUAACCAGAUGCAAAAAUAUGUAGACAGUAAGUUGUACACUGCUGAAACAAGCCUAGCAGGGCAAAGGUGAGAUCCACGUGUCAAAGGUGGUGCUACAGACAGCUGCCACAAGAUCUGCCAGUGACACUUCCUAUUUCCAGUGGAGAGAGGACUGGGAGGAGGCUUCAGAGCAGUGAGUACCAUCUGGACAUGUCCCUGAGAACUUGGGAUCUGUUGUUUGGGAUGAGGGGGAUUUGUUAUUAGUAGAAGGUUGCUCACUGUGUGUUGAGGUUAUCUUGACGCAGGAGGAAAGGCUCCAAACACCUGAUCUGCAACACGUUUGUGCAGCCACAGUGAAUCAGUGCUGCUUUGCCCUUUUGCUGCUUGGGGCUGCUGCCUAGAUGUCAAGUCUCAUUCAGUAAAUGAUGCAAGGAUUUGGGAAGCAGAACAAUGAGUAGAGACGGUGUCCUGCCAGUAAUUGCUGGAAGCAGAGGAGAGAGAAGGGAGCUGUAGGAUAUUGGCACGUGAAGAAGCGCAGAGAUAUUCCUACUCUGGCUGACAGUUUCUAAUAAAGAUAUUUUUAUUGCAAUUGGAAAUUGUCUUCUGGUCAUUUCCUGUUCCAAUCAGCAUCGGUUUGUCUUCAUUUCAAGCGUGAUUCUGCUGAAAAACACUCUGUCCAGUGGCCCAGGGUAUCUGUUGGUAUUGCUUCCGACUUAACAGCCAACGUUAUCUGGGACACAAGUGUGAGCAGCACAAAAGGAAAAGGGAAAAACAAAUCCUGUGUAUGAGUGUGCAGGUGGUGUUCUUGUAUGCUCAGUUAUUUCCACAACAGUGGAAAUAAUCUGAGUUGCUUGUAAACCAUUACAUUCAGAUGACAAAUGGACUUUUUUGUUUACCACUGGUGGUUUUUCUUCAUUGAAUGGUUAAAUAAAUCACCAUGAGGUAUUUUCAUGUACUAUGGAUCCAGAUCCUUUUGGAUCAUGUUCAUGUAAUUUUCUCACUGUAUUUAUAUCUAUUGCAUCAGUCAUCCUGUAAUUAUCAUAUGAAUUAAUAUGAUCUCUUUAUUUUUGUGCUAAGUUAAUUAUGUACUACUCUAUGCCUACUUUGCCAAGUAAACUCUAUUGUAGUAUAGUAUUACUCUAUGGCUAUUUUUUAUGUCUCUUGGUAAUUUUGCGUUUCACAUUCAAAUAGAACAUAAAAAAUGGAAAUACAAAAAUAACCUGGUAAUGGAGGAGCACAAAAUGG